Molecule: unclassified non-coding RNA, 306 nt
Filed under: Devriesia sp.
Lineage: Eukaryota; Fungi; Ascomycota; Dothideomycetes; Mycosphaerellales; Teratosphaeriaceae
Description: partial contains 5.8S ribosomal RNA, internal transcribed spacer 2, and large subunit ribosomal RNA
Rfam family: 5.8S ribosomal RNA (bases 1-52)
Source: RNAcentral
AACGCAUCUUGCGCUCCUUGGUAUUCCGAGGAGCAUGCCUGUUUGAGUGUCAUUAAAUUCUCAACUCUCUUAUACUGUUUGGUAAAAGAGAGCUUGGACUGUGGAGGCUUGCUGGCCACUCGUUUGAGGUCAGCUCCUCUGAAAUGCAUUAGCGGAACCGUUUGCGAUCUGCCACAAGUGUGAUAAAUUAUCUGCACUGGCGAGGGGAUUGCUCUCAGUAAUGUUCAGCUUCUAAUCGUCUCUACUUUGUGAGACUACUUUUGAAUGCUUGACCUCAAAUCAGGUAGGACUACCCGCUGAACUUAA